GUCAGGAUGGCCGAGCGAUCUCAGGCGCUGCGUUCAGGUCGCAGUCUCCCCUGGAGGCGUGGGUUCGAAUCCCACUUCUGACA
RNAcentral lists this transfer RNA (83 nucleotides) under Petromyzon marinus (sea lamprey). RNAcentral's name for it is "tRNA-Leu (CAG) (tRNA-Leu-CAG-27-1, tRNA-Leu-CAG-27-2)". It matches the Rfam family "tRNA". From Rfam's summary of the family: Transfer RNA (tRNA) molecules are approximately 80 nucleotides in length. Their secondary structure includes four short double-helical elements and three loops (D, anti-codon, and T loops). The record is from RNAcentral. Lineage: Eukaryota; Metazoa; Chordata; Hyperoartia; Petromyzontiformes; Petromyzontidae.